RNAcentral lists this non-coding RNA (27 nucleotides) under Rattus norvegicus (Norway rat). The record is from RNAcentral. Lineage: Eukaryota; Metazoa; Chordata; Mammalia; Rodentia; Muridae.
UCCAAACACCUCUGGUGGGUUUCACUU